AGGAUCCGAGCGUUAUCCGGAUUUAUUGGGUUUAAAGGGAGCGUAGAUGGAUGUUUAAGUCAGUUGUGAAAGUUUGCGGCUCAACCGUAAAAUUGCAGUUGAUACUGGAUGUCUUGAGUGCAGUUGAGGCAGGCGGAAUUCGUGGUGUAGCGGUGAAAUGCUUAGAUAUCACGAAGAACUCCGAUUGCGAAGGCAGCCUGCUAAGCUGCAACUGACAUUGAGGCUCGAAAGUGUGGGUAUCAAACAGGAUUAGAUACCCUGGUAGUCCACACGGUAAACGAUGAAUACUCGCUGUUUGCGAUAUACGGCAAGCGGCCAAGCGAAAGCGUUAAGUAUUCCACCUGGGGAGUACGCCGGCAACGGUGAAACUCAAAGGAAUUGACGGGGGCCC
RNAcentral lists this ribosomal RNA (391 nucleotides) under uncultured Bacteroides sp. Its description in RNAcentral is "bacterial SSU rRNA". It matches the Rfam family "Bacterial small subunit ribosomal RNA", at positions 529 to 922 of the family's 1533-position model. The record is from RNAcentral. Lineage: Bacteria; Pseudomonadati; Bacteroidota; Bacteroidia; Bacteroidales; Bacteroidaceae.